This 4713-nucleotide long non-coding RNA is filed under the name Spirodela polyrhiza (greater duckweed). RNAcentral's name for it is "long non-coding RNA (SPOL_LNC002509)". The record is from RNAcentral. Lineage: Eukaryota; Viridiplantae; Streptophyta; Magnoliopsida; Alismatales; Araceae.
GUGAGGAAGAGGCCGUGGAAACCGUACGGCACCCGCCGGGGGAGGCACACCUCGGUGACCACCUCCAGGUCCGGAGACCUAGCGUCCAUCACGACGAAGCUCGAUUCUCCCGUGAUCUCAUCGUGCAGGUACGUCACCAGGUACCCGUCGUCCUCCUCCUCGCCCUCGUCCGGUGCUGGCACGAAGAUGGGCUCGCCACCGAACCUUCGGGGGCUGUACAUCUGGGAGGCGACCACACAGUCACCACCCUUCUUCUCCAUGUCCAGCUUCACCACUCCGGCCACCUUCGGCUGCAGGUCCCCAGCUCCGAGGUAGGCGUAGCGGUUGCGGCGGCCCUGGUAGCUCGGGUUGAUCACCCCCAAGUCGAGGUUCUUUACGGAAAGCGGAAACCGGGAUACUGUCCCGGUCUUGAGCUCAAUCCUUACCAUCUCCACACAGCAUUGGAGAAGUUCUAUCCUUUCCAGCUGUAAGCACAAAACUCUUAGAAAAACAAUUUGCCUGAUGAUUCAAGAAGCACUCUCCUAAAUCAGAAUCAAUAGAAGCAAGAAGAAGAAGAAGACACACAAAUUUAAGAACCCAUCACAUGUAUACACACACUCUGCCUUCUAUUAGGCAUUACAUCGAACACUUAUAGUUCACUCAGAAAAACAGGAAAUCUAAAAACAGAAAAUAACUGUCACAUGCUUUACACGAGCUCUAAGAUUUAAUCUGAGCCGUUAUAACUCGAACAUACGGACGGCUAGGAUUAAGUCUUGCACACAGUAUAAAAGAAACCAUUAGAUUAUCAUCUAAUGGUCCGGAUCACUCUAUCAAAUUCCCCCUUGAUUCGAGCCCUGUUUCACUUCAAGAACUCCAAUUUUCAGUCGCAUCUCUAAAAAUCUUGAUACUCCAAGAGAUUUUGUGAACAUAUCAGCAAGUUGAUCCACUGUAGUCACAUACUUAAGCUCUAUCUUUUUCUCAUCCACACAAUUUCGGAUGAAAUGGUAGUGCACAUCAAUGUGUUUUGUUCACCCAUGAUGAAUAGGAUUUUUGCUGAUUUCUAUAGUCGAUUUGUUAUCAAUGCACAACUCAAAAGGUUGGAACUUCUCACCGAGAAUUUUAGAAAUAAAUUGCAUGAUCCAAAUCCCUUGACAUACUGAUGUGGUGGCAGCAAUGUAUUCGGCUUCACAUGAAGACAGAGCUAUUACCUUUUGCUUGCAGCUGUUCCACACGAUGGGUUUAGUUCCAUAAAAGAAAAUUAACCUAGAGGUGCUCUUCUUGUCAUCAAUGUCUCCUGCAUAAUCACUAUCACUGAAUCCACGCAAGUAGCAAUUUUUUUCUGAUGUACAACUGAUCCCACAGUUAAUCGUCCCUUUCACAUAUCUCAAUACCCUCUUCAUAGCACUCAAGUGAUCAGAAUGAGGCUUGCUCAUAAACUUGCUCAGGUAACUCACAGAGAAGAUUAAAUCGGGUCGAGUUAGAGUUAAAUACCUCAAACACCCAAUAAUCCUCCUAUAAAGAGUUGGAUUCACUUCUUUACCAUCACCUUCUCUAUUUAAUUUCAGUCGACAUUCCAUGGGUGUUUUGGCUGAGUUGCAGUCACCCAUUUUAAAUUCAUCUAGAAUUUUCAUCGCAUAAAACUUUUGACUUAACUUGAUGUCAACCUCUGUCUGAAUUACUUCGAUGCCCAAAUAAAAAUUCAGUAGACCGAAAUCAGUCAUUUCAAACUGUGUCUUCAUAGAGAAUUUAAAAUUCUCAAUUUCCUCAGCACUUGAUCCCGUGACAAUAAGAUCAUCCACAUACACUCCCACCAGCAGUCUAUAUUGAUUAACGGCUGAGAUAUAUACGGCUUGGUCACUUUUACUUUUCACAAAGCCAAUUUUAUUCAAAGUGUUGUCUAACUUUGAAUUCCAAACUCUCAGUGCCUGUUUAAGACUAUACAGUGCCUUCCUCAAUUUAAACACAUAAUCCUCCUUUCCUUUUUUGAUAAAACCCUCUAGUUGAAUCACAUAGAUUUCUUCAUCUAUUUUCCCAUUAAGGAAUGCCGAUUUAACAUCUAAGUGAUGUAAUUUCCACUUGUACUGAGCAGCCACUACAAUUAUAAUCCGAAUUGAAUCUAAUCUUGCUACUAGUGAGAAAACCUCAUUAAAAUCAAUUCCAGGCUUUUGUCUAUAGCCCUUUGCCACAAGACGAGCUUUGAAUCUCAUUAUAUCACCUUUAGAGUCUCUCUUAACUCUAUAUAUCGACUUCACUCUGAUAGGCUUGCACUUCACAGGUGGUUUGACUAAAUCCCAAGUUGAAUUCUUUUCAAUUGCAUCCAUCUCUUCUCGCAUGGCUUUUUCCCAUACUUCAUCUUUGACUGCAUUAGCAAAUGAUGAAGGUUCUUCACUCGAGGUAAAACAAUUCUCAUCACUUUCCACCUCAUGUGUGUCUUCAUAGAUUGACUGAAUUGACCUAAGCUUCUCUGGUCUUUCUUCUUCCUCAGUGAAAUGAUCAUUGUCAACAUCUUCACGUGGAGGUAUUUCUGUCACAGAACUCGAGUCCUCUUCAACAGUGGGGUCUUCAAAGGAGUUAACAAGAUCACUGGCCGAAGUGAAGGUAAAGUCAUUGCAUUGACCCACCUGUUGUCUGAAGUCCCAACUUUGAGAUUCCUCGAAUAUUACAUCUCGACUUAUAGUUACCUUGAAAGUCACUAGAUCAAGGCACCUAUAUGCCUUAGUACCCAACUCGUAGCCAAUGAAUAUCAUCACAUUGCUCCUAUCUUCAAGCUUGCUGAGCCUCUUAGUGGUCUUCACAUGCACAACAGAUCCAAAAACCCGUAAGUGCUUCACAUUGGGCUUUCUUCUACUCCAUUUCUCAUAUAGAGUCACAUCUUCUAAACUCUUAGUGGCUGAUCGAUUUAACACAUACACACAUGUGUUAAUUGCCUCUAUCCACAACUCGAGAGGCAGUUUCUUCUCCUUCAACAUACUUCUCACAAGGGACAUUGUAGUCCUAUUUUUCCUCUCCAUCACUCCAUUCUGUUGAGGUGAGUAGGGGGCAGUGAGCUGUCUCCUUAUACCAUUUUCUUCACAAAAUGUCUUGAAGUCCUUUGAGUUGAAUUCCCCUCCUCGGUUUGAUCGAAAACACUUAAUCUUCUCACCGCUUUCAAACUCGGCUAGGCUUUUAAAUCUCUUGAAGGCCUGAAACGCUUUUGAUUUCUCUUUCAAAAAAGCCACCCACAUUGGUCUCGAAAAGUCAUCAACGAUCAAUAGAUAAUACCUUCUUCCUCCUAUCGUUGAUGGCUGAAUCGGGCCACAUAAAUCUCCAUGGAUUAAUUCCAACUUCUUUGAGGCUCUGAACUCAGAUAAUUUUAGAAAAACACUUCGAGUUUGUUUUCUGGCCACACAACUCCUGCACAUAUGAUCAGAAAAUCGAAGAGCAGGUAAUCCCACAACUACUUUACCUCUUCUCAUAUCAUCUAUUGUUAUGAAAUUUUGAUGACAGAAUCUAUGAUGCCACAGCCACACAAUCUUCUCCUCUUCUUGAGUAAGCUGGCAAAAUUCAGAUACACUUAAUUGUGUAAGAUACAUGCUUCCUCCGGAUUUUUUAGCCCUGGCAAAUUGCCUUCCCAACUUGUCAAAAACAAACAGAAAACCGCUGCUUAAAAUAGAUUUGAAGCCUGCAUCAUCUAAUUUUCCCAAACUUAUGAUAUUUGCUUUAAGACUCGGCACAUAUAAUACCCCGUCGAGCUUCAACUCUUCUCCAUUUUGAUAAUUGACAAUGAUGGAGCCUUUUCCCUCAAAUGCAAUGGUAGAUCCAUCGCCAAAUCUCACUAGUCCACACUGAUUUUCAUCAAAUGAAUUAAAAUAAGACUUCUUACUCAUCAUAUGAGAGCUAGCCCCGGUGUCGAGAUACCACAUUCCAUCUUGUAGGGACAUGUCUUGAGCCCCUUGCAAUAAAUCUUCUGAGAAAGCCAUGAAGAGAUUUGACUCUUCCUUAGUAACAUUUGCAGCUUCUUCUCGUGCCCUUGGCUUUUGCUCAUUUUUACAUUCAUCUACAAAAUGUCCAAAUCCUUGGCAUUAUAACACCUCACCUUGGAUUUGUCAAAUGGCUUCCUCUCUCCCUCUUGCUUUGGCACAUUACUUGACUGAGAUCUUCCUCUACCUUUGCCUCUUCCUCUUCCUUUGUCUCUACCUUGUCCUCGUCCUCUGCCACGAAAGGAUUGACCUUCUUCAGACUUAGUCUUCUUGAAGUGAUUCAUAGCCCAAGCCAAUAAUGCUUGCUCCUCUUCUCUUGCAUCUCUCUCGGAUAAUCUCAUCUCAUGAACCUUCAGUGACCCUAUAGCCUCCACCAAUGACAUGGCAUCUAGGUCACCAAAUUGCUCAAGAGAUAAAGUCAAGGAAUCAUACCUCGGAGGCAUUGACUGAAGUAAUUUCUUGACUGCUUCUUUAUCUUCAAGUCUUUCCCCAAGUUGUCUUAACUCAAAGACAAUUCUUGAAAAUUUAUCAGUGAAAUCGCUCACCUUCUCAUCCUUUUUUAUGGCAAGAUUUUCAAACUCACGUCUCAAGCCCUGAGCUCUCGAUUGGGCUAAACGAUCUAUUCCCAUGUGGAAUGAUCGAACAAUAUCCCAAUUAUCUUUCACCGACUUCUUGAUGUCUAAUUGGACACCUGAUGUUUCCGAAAUUGCAGUUAGUAUGGCAGAGAGGGCUAACUGGUCCUUCUGCCGAUUAGUCUCCGUUCCGGCAACCACGU